RNAcentral lists this ribosomal RNA (790 nucleotides) under unidentified microorganism. RNAcentral describes it as "bacterial SSU rRNA". It matches the Rfam family "Bacterial small subunit ribosomal RNA", at positions 51 to 853 of the family's 1533-position model. The record is from RNAcentral.
ACACAUGCAGUCGAACGAUGAUCCCAGCUUGCUGGGGGAUUAGUGGCGAACGGGUGAGUAACACGUGAGUAACCUGCCCUUAACUCUGGGAUAAGCCUGGGAAACUGGGUCUAAUACCGGAUAUGACUCCUCAUCGCAUGGUGGGGGGUGGAAAGCUUUAUUGUGGUUUUGGAUGGACUCGCGGCCUAUCAGCUUGUUGGUGAGGUAAUGGCUCACCAAGGCGACGACGGGUAGCCGGCCUGAGAGGGUGACCGGCCACACUGGGACUGAGACACGGCCCAGACUCCUACGGGAGGCAGCAGUGGGGAAUAUUGCACAAUGGGCGAAAGCCUGAUGCAGCGACGCCGCGUGAGGGAUGACGGCCUUCGGGUUGUAAACCUCUUUCAGUAGGGAAGAAGCGAAAGUGACGGUACCUGCAGAAGAAGCGCCGGCUAACUACGUGCCAGCAGCCGCGGUAAUACGUAGGGCGCAAGCGUUAUCCGGAAUUAUUGGGCGUAAAGAGCUCGUAGGCGGUUUGUCGCGUCUGCCGUGAAAGUCCGGGGCUCAACUCCGGAUCUGCGGUGGGUACGGGCAGACUAGAGUGAUGUAGGGGAGACUGGAAUUCCUGGUGUAGCGGUGAAAUGCGCAGAUAUCAGGAGGAACACCGAUGGCGAAGGCAGGUCUCUGGGCAUUAACUGACGCUGAGGAGCGAAAGCAUGGGGAGCGAACAGGAUUAGAUACCCUGGUAGUCCAUGCCGUAAACGUUGGGCACUAGGUGUGGGGGACAUUCCACGUUUUCCGCGCCGUAGCU